GAUGAACGCUGGCGGCGUGCUUAACACAUGCAAGUCGAACGGUGAAGCAGGAGCUUGCUCUUGUGGAUCAGUGGCGAACGGGUGAGUAACACGUGAGCAACCUGCCCCUGACUCUGGGAUAAGCGCUGGAAACGGCGUCUAAUACUGGAUAUGUGAUGUGACCGCAUGGUCUGCAUCUGGAAAGAAUUUCGGUUGGGGAUGGGCUCGCGGCCUAUCAGCUUGUUGGUGAGGUAAUGGCUCACCAAGGCGUCGACGGUUAGCCGGCCUGAGAGGGUGACCGGCCACACUGGGACUGAGACACGGCCCAGACUCCUACGGGAGGCAGCAGUGGGGGAUAUUGCACAAUGGGCGGAAGCCUGAUGCAGCAACGCCGCGUGAGGGAUGACGGCCUUCGGGUUGUAAACCUCUUUUAGCAGGGAAGAAGCGAAAGUGACGGUGCCUGCAGAAAAAGCACCGGCUAACUACGUGCCAGCAGCCGCCGCCG
Molecule: ribosomal RNA, 484 nt
Filed under: uncultured bacterium
Lineage: Bacteria
Description: partial 16S ribosomal RNA
Rfam family: Bacterial small subunit ribosomal RNA
Source: RNAcentral